Gavialis gangeticus (Gharial) is the source of this 3054-nucleotide long non-coding RNA. RefSeq lists it as uncharacterized. The record is from RefSeq and is a predicted model, not a curated record. NCBI's taxonomy places the organism in Eukaryota, Metazoa, Chordata, Crocodylia, Gavialidae. The transcript has 3 exons.
AAAGUUUGAGAACCGUUAACUUAAGGCACUUGGUAGGUGGAACAGAAUCUGGUCCUACCUGCAUUAAUAUUUAAACAACUUGUAAGGAUGUGGUGAUGUGUCCAUACUGUUGAUGAAGAACAGGUUCUAAUUUUCCUACUGUUAUCAAGGACAGUGAAUGACAGAAAGGGAGGAGAAAACAGGAAGAGGAACAUGGUAGAGAAAGAUGGAGGUAGAAAAAGCCAGGAAAAGAAUGUUAUGGAGAAAAAGUGAGAACAAAACUAGACAGAAAAAGCUAGGGAAGAUAUUAUAAGGAAAAACUAGAAAUGAACCAAGAAGGAGAAAAAAAAAGAGAAAAUGGUGCAUGCGAGAGAAAACAUGGUCAAAAAAUAAGAAAAAGCUGUGGCAUGGCCUGGCCAGAGAAAUCAUUGUGAGGUGGUGACGUAUGAUAUGGUCCAUUGCACAGCAGUACUACAGAGAAGGAAGUUGAUAACAAACAAUGAGCUAAAAGAUCAAUUUUCUUUCUUUUUUUUUCUGGAAACACAUGACCAAUCUGUCCUGCACUAUUUUGGCAAAGGAGACAGCCAAAGCACUUAACAGAGAGCAGGUAUUAAAAUGUUGAAUCUAUGCAGCUGGAAUUGAUGCAGGCUAUCCACCCAAUUUUAUAAAAGGAGGCAUGUGUCAGCCACAGGUCCUAAGCUGGCCCACAAAUAGGACUGGCUGUCUUCCUUUCUGUCUGAGCUCCCAGCCGUCCAUAUGAUAAAGGACUCUUCAACACAGUGGGGAAUUCAAAAACUUUAUCCUCACUACUUCACCCUAAGAGCUCCAAAUCAAUGAACUACCUGGUAAGGAGGAAGAUCAGUCUGUUCAGGAAUGAUAUUUUCCAUUAGCUUUCCCUACAGCAGAAGCCAUCUUCUGAGGAAGAUGAAAACUAUAAGAGGGGGUUCUCUCUCAGACUGACACCCUGUCUCAUGAUACAUGAGGGUGUGAGCAUUGGACAAGGAUUGCCUAAGAUGAGUAGGGAUGUCUCCCAGCAUAAUCCUGUAUGUCUAACUGAAGAAUCCUCAGGUUGAAUAGCUUGUUACUCAUGCAGAGAAGCCAUCCUAUUCUUGAGCACUGUAAAUCUAGCUGUAUACAUGCCUCUUUGGCUUAAGGGCUCUAAGAGCAUGUCUCAUGUUCCAGCCCAGAAAGGACAUUUCUGUUCAGAAAGUUCCCAGGUGCAAAGCUCCAGGUAUACAGAGAAGAUCUUCUGCUGAGAAGUCCAAUCAAGUGGAAGAGGUGAGCUUCUUUCUUUGGCUAAGGAAAAAAAGGUAUGUUAAAUAUUGUCUCAUUCAAAGUCAAGGCACGUUCUUAAAGUGUUGACUCAGUCCCCAGGUCUACAUCAGCACAAAGCUACAGCACCUACAGUGGGGCUACUUGCAUAAAAAGGGAUAUGCUGGAGUGGGACCCUGAAUCCUUCCUGGUACAAAUCCACAUAAUGUGCCUGUGUGAAAGGUUUGAUUUCAGAAUGCUGGACUAGCAGUAAAACAUGCAAAGGCCAGCAGUAGCCAAAUAACUCUUUGGUUAUCAGUACACAUCAAGUAGACAGCCUUGUGUGUAUUCAUUCCAUAAAAGCUUGGAAUACAUUAUAAAAAAGGAAUCUCUUUUUGUUCGGCUGGCUCCACAGAGAUGUAAUAUUAUAGAAAGAGCUGGCACUCAAGAUAGAGAUCUCGCCUGUGCACUCUCUGCAUUUCCCAGUGCAUUCUGUUUCAUGUCUGUCAAUCUUCCGAUCCAAGCCUGAAAAUAUCUGCUCUCCAUUGAAUCCAGUGGUUCUGAUAAAAAGUAAGUGCCAGACCCAGGUUCCAUUUUGCAGCAUAGAUGGGAUGCUAAACGUGUUCCUGCCCUGUGAGGUCCAGGGACAUGUUUGGAAGCCUGCUUAUGUUGCAAACUGGACUGGUUUUCAAGCUGCUCUCAGGGCAAAAAGGUGGAACGCAAAGGCUUGUCUAUGCUGCUGAGACUCCUGAGUGUAGCACUAUAGUCUCCCCCACCUACUCCCACUCCACAUGCACCAAUCCUAGAAAUGAGGCACUGAAGCUACCCUGAGGGAAACCCCAGUGCCAUUCUCAUGCAUGUCCUAGGCAGCUUGAGAGCAGCAACCGGGGCACCUCCAGAGGGGUGUUACAUGAUCCCCUUGGCAUUCUAAUUGCACCAGCUUGCCCCAGUUUAUACCAAUUUGCACUUAUACCCAUGGAUAAAUUGUGCCUCCUGGUUGAUCUCUUGUGAACUUGACCCCCUGAGUUGUAAGCUAAUUUUCUAAAAGACCUUUGCAGCUUGAUGUUUACACACACUUUUUUUACAAGCCUGAAUUUUCUUCCCACUGUGCUCAAGUGAUGUGUCACACUCUGGGAAAGCAUUGGUGCUUCCUCACACUGUGGAGCCUUGGGCAACUGGCUGAUGAUGCAGUUAGCAAUGCAAAAUGAGAAGCGGUAUCAUUUAGUGAGGUUGCUUGUUGUUGUUUUUUUAACUCUGCUUGCUUCAUCUUUUGAUGCGAUUCACUUAAAAAUGUAGCACAAUAAUAGCAGCAGAAGGAUGAAAAAGCACUAGUGCUAUUAUGGCCAGCAGCUGGGAUCUAUCUGUUUAUUUAUUCAUGGUGAUAUCUUCGGUUUAUGUUACUAGUAGUCAUUGAAGGAAUUCCAGGGAACCAGAAAGGUACCUGAAAUUCUAUUAGCAGAGGUGUCAAGUACAUUUUAAUAUAGGAAAGAACAUAUUCAUAGUAGGUAUAUUUCACCAAGGGAGAAUUCAGGAAUGUCUCAGCACUCUAAAAAAUGUCCUACUCCAUUUCAACUCAGCUUGCCAGUCCACUUUAAUGCUCAUUAUCUUCUGCUGUCAACUAUGCUCCCAUUUUUUUAAACUCUAUGAUUUUUGUGUUUUAAAUGAUUCGUGGUUUGCUGAAUGAAGUCUUUGAAGUAUGUCAUGGGUAUUCUCUAUAAAAAUCAAUGAAAUGUAACUGAACCAAAUCUAAUUAAGUGUCUAUGUGAUUUAGAAGACUUUUCCUUCAGCUGCCAUUUGCAUUAAAAAGAUUUGUAGACUUGUUUA